GGGCCAUUAGCCAAGUCAGGAUAAGGCACUCGGCUUUUAACCGAGGGAUUCGCAGGUUCAAAUCCUGCAUGGCUCACCA
Molecule: transfer RNA, 79 nt
Filed under: Candidatus Woesearchaeota archaeon
Lineage: Archaea; Nanobdellati; Candidatus Woesearchaeota
Description: tRNA-Lys
Rfam family: tRNA
About the family: Transfer RNA (tRNA) molecules are approximately 80 nucleotides in length. Their secondary structure includes four short double-helical elements and three loops (D, anti-codon, and T loops).
Source: RNAcentral